This 71-nucleotide transfer RNA is filed under the name Podarcis lilfordi (Lilford's wall lizard). RNAcentral's name for it is "tRNA.Ala". The stretch from base 7 to 63 matches the Rfam family "tRNA", at positions 8 to 63 of the family's 71-position model. Rfam says of the family: Transfer RNA (tRNA) molecules are approximately 80 nucleotides in length. Lineage: Eukaryota; Metazoa; Chordata; Lepidosauria; Squamata; Lacertidae. The record is from RNAcentral.
GGGCCAUAGCUCAGUGGCAGAGCAUCUGCUUUGCGUGCAGAAGGUUCCAGGUUCAAUCCCCAGCAUCUCCA